RNAcentral lists this ribosomal RNA (482 nucleotides) under uncultured bacterium. Its description in RNAcentral is "bacterial SSU rRNA". It matches the Rfam family "Bacterial small subunit ribosomal RNA", at positions 30 to 506 of the family's 1533-position model. The record is from RNAcentral.
UUGAACGCUGGCGGCAUGCCUUACACAUGCAAGUCGAACGGCAGCACGGGAGCAAUCCUGGUGGCGAGUGGCGAACGGGUGAGUAACAUAUCGGAACGUACCCUGUCGUGGGGGAUAACACAGCGAAAGCUGUGCUAAUACCGCAUACGACCUGAGGGUGAAAGCGGGGGAUCGCAAGACCUCGCGCGAUAGGAGCGGCCGAUAUCGGAUUAGCUUGUUGGUGAGGUAAAGGCUCACCAAGGCGACGAUCCGUAGCUGGUCUGAGAGGACGACCAGCCCCACUGGAACUGAGACACGGUCCAGACUCCUACGGGAGGCAGCAGUGGGGAAUUUUGGACAAUGGGCGCAAGCCUGAUCCAGCAAUGCCGCGUGCAGGAUGAAGGCCUUCGGGUUGUAAACUGCUUUUGUACGGAACGAAACGGUUCUCUUUAAUAAAGAGGGCUAAUGACGGUACCGUAAGAAUAAGCACCGGCUAACUACGU